Molecule: ribosomal RNA, 387 nt
Filed under: uncultured bacterium
Lineage: Bacteria
Description: bacterial SSU rRNA
Rfam family: Bacterial small subunit ribosomal RNA
Source: RNAcentral
GACGAACGCUGGCGGCGUGCUUAACACAUGCAAGUCGAGCGGUAAGGCCCUUUCGGGGGUACACGAGCGGCGAACGGGUGAGUAACACGUGGGUGACCUGCCCUCAGCUCUGGGAUAAGCCUGGGAAACUGGGUCUAAUACCGGAUAUGACUCCAUGACGCAUGUUGUGGGGUGGAAAGCCUUGUGCGGCUGAGGAUGGGCCCGCGGCCUAUCAGCUUGUUGGUGGGGUGAUGGCCUACCAAGGCGACGACGGUAGCCGGCCUGAGAGGGCGACCGGCCACACUGGGACUGAGACACGGCCCAGACUCCUACGGGAGGCAGCAGUGGGGAAUCUUGCGCAAUGGGCGAAAGCCUGACGCAGCGACGCCGCGUGAGGGAUGACGGCCU